GAUGAACGCUAGCGGCAGGCCUAAUACAUGCAAGUCGUACGGCAACACAGUUGCGAGCAAUCGCAACCGGUGGCGAGUGGCGCACGGGUGAGUAACGCGUAUGUAACCUACCCUUCUCCGGGACAUAACUCCGCGAAAGCGGUGCUAAUAUCCCAUACCAACUCAUCAAGACAUCUUCUUGAGUUGAAAGCAGCAAUGCGGUGAAGGAUGGGCAUGCGUCCCAUUAGCUGGUUGGUGAGGUAAUGGCCUACCAAGGCUACGAUCAGUAGGGGUUCUGAGAGGAUUAACCCCCAACUGGUACUGAGACACGGACCAGACUCCUACGGGGGCAGCAGUGAGGAAUAUUGGUCAAUGGGCGGAAGCCUGAACCAGCCAUCCCGCGUGAAGGAAGACAGCCUUACGGGUUGUAAACUUUCUUUUCGUCAGAAGAAUAAGCUUGUCGAGACGAGUGAUGCCGGUAUGACAGGAAUAAGCAUCGGA
This 480-nucleotide ribosomal RNA is filed under the name uncultured bacterium. RNAcentral's name for it is "bacterial SSU rRNA". It matches the Rfam family "Bacterial small subunit ribosomal RNA", at positions 28 to 497 of the family's 1533-position model. The record is from RNAcentral.